CAGCAGCCGCGGUAAUACGUAGGUGGCGAGCGUUAUCCGGAUUUACUGGGCGUAAAGAGCGCGCAGGCGGUCGUGCAAGUCGGAUGUGAAAGCCCCCGGCUCAACUGGGGAAAGUCAUUCGAUACUGCUCGACUUGAAGGCGGGAGAGGGAAGCGGAAUUCCCGGUGUAGUGGUGAAAUGCGUAGAUAUCGGGAGGAACACCAGUGGCGAAGGCGGCUUCCUGGCCCGUUCUUGACGCUGAGGCGCGAAAGCUAGGGGAGCAAACGGGAUUAGAUACCCCGGUAAUCCUAGCCGUAAACGAUGGACACUAGGUGUUGGUGGUAUCAACCCCGCCAGUGCCGAAGCUAACGCAUUAAGUGUCCCGCCUGGGGAGUACGGCCGCAAGGCUAAAACUCAAAGGAAUUGACGG
RNAcentral lists this ribosomal RNA (409 nucleotides) under uncultured bacterium. Its description in RNAcentral is "bacterial SSU rRNA". It matches the Rfam family "Bacterial small subunit ribosomal RNA", at positions 509 to 916 of the family's 1533-position model. The record is from RNAcentral.